GAACAUCACAAACGUUUCGGGUAUUCCCUUUCUCAAUGCAUCAUGUCCCCCAUUGAGAAAGGGAAUACUGGAAACGUUUGUGAUACUC
Non-coding RNA from Pelobates cultripes (western spadefoot toad), 88 nucleotides. The record is from the annotation of a GenBank genome assembly. Lineage: Eukaryota; Metazoa; Chordata; Amphibia; Anura; Pelobatidae.